This 301-nucleotide ribosomal RNA is filed under the name uncultured bacterium. RNAcentral describes it as "partial 16S ribosomal RNA". It matches the Rfam family "Bacterial small subunit ribosomal RNA", at positions 509 to 807 of the family's 1533-position model. The record is from RNAcentral.
CAGUAGCCGCGGGAAUACGAAGGGGGCUAGCGUUGUUCGGAAUUACUGGGCGUAAAGCGCACGUAGGCGGAUAUUUAAGUCAGGGGUGAAAUCCCGCAGCUCAACUGCGGAACUGCCUUUGAUACUGGGUAUCUUGAGUAUGGAAGAGGUUAGUGGAAUUGCGAGUGUAGAGGUGAAAUUCGUAGAUAUUCGGAAGAACACCAGUGGCGAAGGCGGCUCACUGGACUGGUAUUGACGCUGAGGUGCGAAAGCGUGGGGAGCAAACAGGAUUAGAUACCCCGGUAGUCCCUGUCUCUUAUAC